Long non-coding RNA from Ornithorhynchus anatinus (platypus), 528 nucleotides. RefSeq lists it as uncharacterized. The transcript has 3 exons. Lineage: Eukaryota; Metazoa; Chordata; Mammalia; Monotremata; Ornithorhynchidae. The record is from RefSeq and is a predicted model, not a curated record.
GCCGGCUCUGAAGAGGAAAAUGUAAUUCUCUUUCAGCUAGCAGGUUCUGACUUGUCCUGAGAAACCAGUGUGAAUCUGACAGAUUUUCCUCUGGCUAAAACCACUUCCAUUUCAAAGUGCUUCUACAGUGCCUGGACAGGGGACACAAAUACCAGCCCAGAACUUCAGCGCCUGUUCAAUAAAUCCCUUCAAAAUGGGCUAUCACCCUGCGACGACAGCUGUGAAGGGCCUGGAGGCGGAGAUACCUCUCAGCAGGGAGGCCUGGUGUCAGGAAGUGCAUCCCCUCAGGAGACUUCAGUGGGGGUAACCUAUGUUGGAUAUAAACAGACCCCCUUCAUUCUUCGGGGCUGUCAACUUAGGGGCCCCCUCCCCCCUACACCAGGGGAGCUUCCUCAACAUUUAACUCUUGAAGAGUCACCAGGAGUUCCUCGAGACUGGCUGCCAAGAUAAACAUUGACCCAAGAGGUGGUGUUACUUGUGUAAAUACUCUGUGCCCUCUUAGCUUGACUGUGACCAAGAAAACUCUCU